CGAACGGGUGAGUAACACGUGGGUGAUCUGCCUUGCACUCUGGGAUAAGCCUGGGAAACUGGGUCUAAUACCGGAUAUGAGCCUGGACUGCAUGGUCUGGGUUGGAAAGGUUUACUGGUGCGAGAUGGGCCCGCGGCCUAUCAGCUUGUUGGUGGGGUAACGGCCUACCAAGGCGACGACGGGUAGCCGACCUGAGAGGGUGACCGGCCACACUGGGACUGAGACACGGCCCAGACUCCUACGGGAGGCAGCAGUGGGGAAUAUUGCACAAUGGGCGAAAGCCUGAUGCAGCGACGCCGCGUGAGGGAUGACGGCCUUCGGGUUGUAAACCUCUUUUGACAGGGACGAAGCGCAAGUGACGGUACCUGUAGAAGAAGCACCGGCCAACUACGUGCCAGCAGCCGCGGUAAUACGUAGGGUGCGAGCGUUGUCCGGAAUUACUGGGCGUAAAGAGCUUGUAGGCGGUCUGUCACGUCGAUUGUGAAAACUUGCAGCUCAACUGCAAGCUUGCAGUCGAUACGGGCAGACUAGAGUACUUCAGGGGAGACUGGAAUUCCUGGUGUAGCGGUGAAAUGCGCAGAUAUCAGGAGGAACACCGGUGGCGAAGGCGGGUCUCUGGGAAGUAACUGACGCUGAGAAGCGAAAGCGUGGGUAGCGAACAGGAUUAGAUACCCUGGUAGUCCACGCCGUAAACGGUGGGUACUAGGUGUGGGUUUCCUUCCACGGGAUCCGUGCCGUAGCUAACGCAUUAAGUACCCCGCCUGGGGAGUACGGCCGCAAGGCUAAAACUCAAAGGAAUUGACGGGGGCCCGCACAAGCGGCGGAGCAUGUGGAUUAAUUCGAUGCAACGCGAAGAACCUUACCUGGGUUUGACAUACACCGGAAAGCCAUAGAGAUAUGGCCCCCCUUGUGGUCGGUGUACAGGUGGUGCAUGGCUGUCGUCAGCUCGUG
RNAcentral lists this ribosomal RNA (951 nucleotides) under Nocardia niigatensis. RNAcentral describes it as "bacterial SSU rRNA". It matches the Rfam family "Bacterial small subunit ribosomal RNA", at positions 99 to 1064 of the family's 1533-position model. The record is from RNAcentral. Lineage: Bacteria; Bacillati; Actinomycetota; Actinomycetes; Mycobacteriales; Nocardiaceae.